This is a non-coding RNA of Onchocerca flexuosa, 134 nucleotides long. The record is from the annotation of a GenBank genome assembly. Lineage: Eukaryota; Metazoa; Nematoda; Chromadorea; Rhabditida; Onchocercidae.
GCACGGAUGGCCGAGUGGUCUAAGGCGCCAGACUCAAGCGAUAUAAUUGCUUCGCACGAGUUCAAGUGCGAAAUGAGUUAAAUGGGUGUUCUGGUAUCGUAAUCGAUGCGUGGGUUCGAAUCCCACUCCGUGCA